Molecule: ribosomal RNA, 403 nt
Filed under: Fusobacteriota bacterium
Lineage: Bacteria; Fusobacteriati; Fusobacteriota
Description: Fusobacteria bacterium partial 16S ribosomal RNA
Rfam family: Bacterial small subunit ribosomal RNA
Source: RNAcentral
UGGGGAAUAUUGCACAAUGGAGGGAACUCUGAUGCAGCGACGCCGCGUGAACGAAGAAGGCUUUCGAGUCGUAAAGUUCUUUUAUAUGGGAAGAUAAUGACGGUACCAUAAGAAAAAGCCCCGGCUAACUACGUGCCAGCAGCCGCGGUAAUACGUAGGGGGCUAGCGUUGUCCGGAAUCACUGGGCGUAAAGGGUUCGCAGGCGGAAAUGCAAGUCAGAUGUAAAAGGCAGUAGCUUAACUACUGUAAGCAUUUGAAACUGCAUAUCUUGAGAAGAGUAGGGGUAAGUGGAAUUUUUAGUGUAGCGGUGAAAUGCGUAGAUAUUAAAAAGAAUACCGGUGGCGAAGGCGACUUACUGGGCUCAUUCUGACGCUGAGGAACGAAAGCGUGGGUAGCAAACAGG